CCACCGAUUUGACAAGCAAUUAUUUGUGUUGGGAGUUGGGGCUAGUGACUGAAAAAUAGAAGAUGGCCACAAACCCACCACAUCGAUUUGGCCAUCAAGUUAGCCUCACACAUGGCCAAUUGGCAGGCCUAAUAUUUUAUGAACGUGGUUGCUUCCUGACAAAGAAGGCAAAAUAGAAGAUCUCUCUGUUCCCCCAUGUUGACUCAGCCUUAGCUGUAACUCCCUCUUGGGAACAGUCUUGAAGCUCACGACCACUCCAGCUCUUAAUCAAAUUCAGACUAGUCAAACAAUUUUGAGCGAAUCUAUGUCUUCAGAUCCAGGACUAUUGAUCUAUGCCGGGAUGGAUGAAUCAUGCACUUACCAAGAUUUUCAGGAAUUUCAGGUUACUUAACGUUCACUGUUCCAUUUACCCAGAUGUAAGGUUGCUGAAAAUGCAACUCUUUGGGAGAUUCAUUGUGAAGACUACCUGCCCAAAAGAGACCACAUGUGUGAACUGAUAUCUGUAUGCUGAGUGGCCACUCUGCUGUUUGUAUGCGUAUGCACUAGAUCAUUUUCCAAAUUGAAUAAGGGGUUUCCCUUAUUGUCUCAGCAAAGGAUAAGUGUUACCUUCUUAUUUUUGAGCUCCCGCAAGUCCAAAGAAGCCAUCUUUGGAAGGACGUGACAUAAGGCAUGUGGAAGGGGCUGCCAAGUUGUCAUUAUCACAUGCCCAACUCGUACUUUGUUAAAACCAACUUGCCACAAUUGGUUAACAUUUGCAGCCCAGAUAAGAAAACCUCCUGGUUGUGGCCCAUAAAUAUUUUAUCUGGCAUUGAUGCACAUCCACUGUUCACCAAUAGUAAGGCACAAAAUAAUUUUACCCUUGGACAAGAUCCUUUUGGUUGAUCGAGUUAAGACAAUGGAGUG
RNAcentral lists this long non-coding RNA (903 nucleotides) under Manihot esculenta (cassava). Its description in RNAcentral is "long non-coding RNA (MESC_LNC003571)". The record is from RNAcentral. Lineage: Eukaryota; Viridiplantae; Streptophyta; Magnoliopsida; Malpighiales; Euphorbiaceae.